RNAcentral lists this ribosomal RNA (218 nucleotides) under uncultured bacterium. Its description in RNAcentral is "partial 16S ribosomal RNA". It matches the Rfam family "Bacterial small subunit ribosomal RNA", at positions 118 to 351 of the family's 1533-position model. The record is from RNAcentral.
UGGGAACCUUCCCUAUGGUUCGGAAUAGCUCAGGGGAAACUUAGGGGUAAUACCGGAUAAGCCCUUCGGGGGAAAGAUUUAUCGCCAUUGGAUGGGCCCGCGUCGGAUUAGCUAGUUGGUGAGGUAACGGCUCACCAAGGCAACGAUCCGUAGCUGGUCUGAGAGGAUGAUCAGCCACACUGGGACUGAGACACGGCCCAGACUCCUACGGGAGGCAG